UCCUCUGCAGAUUUAAUGAUCAGGAACAUCCUUCUGAUGCAUGCUGGGAGAUAUGGCUGCAGGGUACAGACCACAGCAGACAGUGUGUCAGAUGAGGCAGAACUUCUUGUUAGGGCCUGGACUCUGAAUGAUUCUUCAUUAAUCCACACAAAAUCCAUGCAGCCUGAACGGAGGGCUAACACUGAUUGGAAGAAACUUUCACUGCAAAUUGGAUUUUGUCCUCCCAAACACCUGGCAAAGAAAGAUCACCUUCGAUGGAUGGAGAGUAACACUUAUAUACUGGAAUAUAUUUAGAGUGCACAACUCCAACUUAUAUAAAACUACAUUAAGUGUUUAUGCCCCAACUACUUGAAAUUGUUGCUUAAUUUAACUUUCACCUGAAGUUUGUAAUA
Long non-coding RNA from Capra hircus (goat), 392 nucleotides. RefSeq lists it as uncharacterized. The record is from RefSeq and is a predicted model, not a curated record. Lineage: Eukaryota; Metazoa; Chordata; Mammalia; Artiodactyla; Bovidae. The transcript is spliced from 3 exons.